ACCUACUGUUUAAUUUUGAGGGUUCGUUUUUACGAAUACUCAAAAUUAGCACUUUUAGCAACAGAAUAAACUGAACGCAUGUGAAGUUUGUUUGUUGGCGACGUGCUUUAGCACUUUAAGCAACGGGAUUUAUCCGUUGGCGCUGUGCGUUAGCACUUUGAAAACUGCAUAUAUAUUUAGUGAUAUGACAUCUAAUUUGUAAUAUAUAAAGCUGAUAACUUUUUAAAAUUAUCGAAGUUGAUAGCUUCUAAUCUAUCAAACCUUUUUAACUGGUCAA
This 277-nucleotide unclassified non-coding RNA is filed under the name Clostridioides difficile. RNAcentral's name for it is "16S-23S ribosomal RNA intergenic spacer (ISR)". The record is from RNAcentral. Lineage: Bacteria; Bacillati; Bacillota; Clostridia; Peptostreptococcales; Peptostreptococcaceae.